RNAcentral lists this ribosomal RNA (391 nucleotides) under uncultured bacterium. RNAcentral's name for it is "bacterial SSU rRNA". It matches the Rfam family "Bacterial small subunit ribosomal RNA", at positions 29 to 401 of the family's 1533-position model. The record is from RNAcentral.
AACGAACGCUGGCGGCGUGCCUAACACAUGCAAGUCGAACGAGAAAGCGGACUUCGGUCCGCCGGUAAAGUGGCAGACGGGUGAGUAACACGUGGAUAACCUACCCAAAGGCGGGGGAUAACUCUUCGAAAGGAGAGCUAAUACCGCAUAACAUUCCUAGGUCUUCGGGCUCUGGAAUCAAAGCUAGCCUCUUCUUGAAAGCUAGCGCCGUUGGAUGGGUCCGCGCCCCAUUAGCUUGUUGGUGAGGUAACGGCUCACCAAGGCAUCGAUGGGUAGCCGGCCUGAGAGGGUGAACGGCCACACUGGAACUGAGACACGGUCCAGACUCCUACGGGAGGCAGCAGUGAGGAAUUUUGCGCAAUGGGGGAAACCCUGACGCAGCGACGCCGCG